GACGAACGCUGGCGGCGUGCUUAACACAUGCAAGUCGAACGGUGAAGGGAUCAGCUUGCUGGUUCUGGAUGAGUGGCGAACGGGUGAGUAACACGUGAGUAACCUGCCCCCUUCUUCUGGAUAACCGCAUGAAAGUGUGGCUAAUACGGGAUAUUCUGCGCCUGCUGCAUGGUGGGUGUGGGAAAGAUAUUGUUUCGGUGGGGGAUGGGCUCGCGGCCUAUCAGCUUGUUGGUGGGGUGAUGGCCUACCAAGGCGGUGACGGGUAGCCGGCCUGAGAGGGUGGACGGUCACACUGGGACUGAGACACGGCCCAGACUCAUACGGGAGGCAGCAGUGGGGAAUAGUGCACAAUGGGCGCAAGCCUGAUGCAGCGACGCAGCGUGAGGGAUGGAGGCCUUCGGGUUGUGAACCUCUUUCGCCAGUGAAGCAGGCCUGUCCCUUGUGGGUGGGUUGACGGUAGCUGGAUAAGAAGCGCCGGCUAACUACGUG
Molecule: ribosomal RNA, 489 nt
Filed under: uncultured bacterium
Lineage: Bacteria
Description: partial 16S ribosomal RNA
Rfam family: Bacterial small subunit ribosomal RNA
Source: RNAcentral